UACGUAGGGCGCAAGCGUUAUCCGGAAUUAUUGGGCGUAAAGAGCUCGUAGGCGGUUUGUCGCGUCUGCUGUGAAAGUCCGGGGCUCAACUCCGGAUCUGCGGUGGGUACGGGCAGACUAGAGUGCGGUAGGGGAGACUGGAAUUCCUGGUGUAGCGGUGGAAUGCGCAGAUAUCAGGAGGAACACCGGUGGCGAAGGCGGGUCUCUGGGCAGUAACUGACGCUGAGGAGCGAAAGCGUGGGGAGCGAACAGG
Molecule: ribosomal RNA, 253 nt
Filed under: uncultured bacterium
Lineage: Bacteria
Description: partial 16S ribosomal RNA
Rfam family: Bacterial small subunit ribosomal RNA
Source: RNAcentral